CCCUUAGAUGUUCUGGGCUGCACACGUGCUACACUGGCAGGUUCUGCGAGCUUCAUGCCCUGAUCUGAAAGGAAUGGGAAAUCUUUUCAAAACCUGCCGUGCUUGGGAUAGAUGUUUGCAAUUAUUCAUCUUCAACGAGGAUUGCCUUGUAAGCGCACGUCAUCAGCGUGCAUUGAAUACGACCCUGUAUUCUGUACACACCGCCCGUCGCUCCUACCGAUUGAAGUUUUCGGUGAGUUGACAGGAGGAUUUUUUUGAAACUGGUUCGCCAGUGGAUUUUAGAUCCAAAUGCCAACGAAUCGAUGGCUUUAGAGGAAGGAGAAGUCGUAACA
Molecule: ribosomal RNA, 332 nt
Filed under: uncultured eukaryote
Lineage: Eukaryota
Description: partial 18S ribosomal RNA
Rfam family: Eukaryotic small subunit ribosomal RNA
Source: RNAcentral